This 522-nucleotide ribosomal RNA is filed under the name Leptodactylus elenae. Its description in RNAcentral is "partial 16S ribosomal RNA". It matches the Rfam family "Bacterial large subunit ribosomal RNA", at positions 1857 to 2578 of the family's 2925-position model. Lineage: Eukaryota; Metazoa; Chordata; Amphibia; Anura; Leptodactylidae. The record is from RNAcentral.
GCCUGCCCAGUGACUCUGUUCAACGGCCGCGGUAUCCUAACCGUGCGAAGGUAGCGUAAUCACUUGUUCUUUAAAUGAGGACUAGUAUGAAUGGCACCACGAAGGUUAUACUGUCUCCUUUUUCUAAUCAGUGAAACUAAUCUUCCCGUGAAGAAACGGGAAUAAUAAUAUAAGACGAGAAGACCCUAUGGAGCUUUAAACAGAUAUACAAUUGCCUCCAAUACAAAAAAUUUCAGAAAAUAAAUACCCACCCAGGCAUUUUGAUAUAAAGUUUUCGGUUGGGGUGACCACGGAGCAAAAAAUAACCUCCGCAAUGAAAGGGAAUUUUACCCUAAACCCAGGGCUACGACCCUAAGUAUCAAUAAUUUGACACUAAUUGACCCAAUACAUUGAUCAAUGAACCAAGUUACCCUAGGGAUAACAGCGCAAUCCAUUUCAAGAGCUCCUAUCGACAAAUGGGUUUACGACCUCGAUGUUGGAUCAGGGUAUCCCAGUGGUGCAGCCGCUACUAACGGUUCGUUU